This 253-nucleotide ribosomal RNA is filed under the name uncultured bacterium. RNAcentral's name for it is "partial 16S ribosomal RNA". It matches the Rfam family "Bacterial small subunit ribosomal RNA", at positions 524 to 776 of the family's 1533-position model. The record is from RNAcentral.
UACGAAGGGGGCUAGCGUUGCUCGGAAUUACUGGGCGUAAAGGGCGCGUAGGCGGAUAUUUAAGUUAGAGGUGAAAGCCCAGGGCUCAACCCUGGAAUAGCCUUUAAUACUGGAUAUCUUGAGUUCGGGAGAGGUGAGUGGAACUCCGAGUGUAGAGGUGAAAUUCGUAGAUAUUCGGAAGAACACCAGUGGCGAAGGCGGCUCACUGGCCCGUAACUGACGCUGAGGCACGAAAGCGUGGGGAGCAAACAGG